This 31-nucleotide non-coding RNA is filed under the name Homo sapiens (human). Lineage: Eukaryota; Metazoa; Chordata; Mammalia; Primates; Hominidae. The record is from RNAcentral.
UCCGUAAAUGGAAAAACCUCAUGCUCUGCCA